Molecule: ribosomal RNA, 493 nt
Filed under: uncultured bacterium
Lineage: Bacteria
Description: bacterial SSU rRNA
Rfam family: Bacterial small subunit ribosomal RNA
Source: RNAcentral
UCCUGGCUCAGAUUGAACGCUGGCGGCAUGCCUUACACAUGCAAGUCGAACGGCAGCGGACCUUCGGGUGCCGGCGAGUGGCGAACGGGUGAGUAAUAUAUCGGAACGUACCUUUCAGUGGGGGAUAACGUAGCGAAAGUUACGCUAAUACCGCAUAUUCUGUGAGCAGGAAAGCAGGGGAUCGCAAGACCUUGCGCUGAUUGAGCGGCCGAUAUCAGAUUAGCUAGUUGGUGAGGUAAAGGCUCACCAAGGCGACGAUCUGUAGCGGGUCUGAGAGGAUGAUCCGCCACACUGGAACUGAGACACGGUCCAGACUCCUACGGGAGGCAGCAGUGGGGAAUUUUGGACAAUGGGCGCAAGCCUGAUCCAGCCAUGCCGCGUGAGUGAAGAAGGCCUUCGGGUUGUAAAGCUCUUUCGGCCGGGAAGAAAUCGCACGGGUUAAUACCCUGUGUGGAUGACGGUACCGGAAUAAGAAGCACCGGCUAACUCCGUG